This is a non-coding RNA of Mycena leptocephala, 91 nucleotides long. The record is from the annotation of a GenBank genome assembly. Lineage: Eukaryota; Fungi; Basidiomycota; Agaricomycetes; Agaricales; Mycenaceae.
GCCCCCGUAGAUUAGCGGUAGAUCAUCUUCAUCUUAUAAUCCAUAAAUAUGUUUUCUGAAGAUGUCGUAGGUUCAACUCCUACCGAGGGCA